UACGAAGGGGGCUAGCGUUGCUCGGAAUUACUGGGCGUAAAGGGAGCGUAGGCGGACAUUUAAGUCAGGGGUGAAAUCCCGGGGCUCAACCUCGGAAUUGCCUUUGAUACUGGGUGUCUCGAGUAUGAGAGAGGUGUGUGGUACUCCGAGUGUAGAGGUGAAAUUCGUAGAUAUUCGGAAGAACACCAGUGGCGAAGGCGACGCACUGGCUCAUUACUGACGCUGAGGCUCGAAAGCGUGGGGAGCAAACAGGAUUAGAUACCCCCGUAGUCCCU
RNAcentral lists this ribosomal RNA (275 nucleotides) under uncultured prokaryote. RNAcentral describes it as "partial 16S ribosomal RNA". It matches the Rfam family "Bacterial small subunit ribosomal RNA", at positions 524 to 798 of the family's 1533-position model. The record is from RNAcentral.